UUAGCGGCGGACGGGUGAGUAAUGCGUGGGAACAUACCCUUUGGUACGGAAUAGCCUCGGGAAACUGGGAGUAAUACCGUAUGUGCCCUUCGGGGGAAAGAUUUAUCGCCAAAGGAUUGGCCCGCGUUGGAUUAGGUAGUUGGUGGGGUAAUGGCUCACCAAGGCGACGAUUCGUAGCUGGUCUGAGAGGACGACCAGCAUCACUGGGACUGAGACACGGCCCAGACUCC
RNAcentral lists this ribosomal RNA (230 nucleotides) under uncultured bacterium. RNAcentral describes it as "partial 16S ribosomal RNA". It matches the Rfam family "Bacterial small subunit ribosomal RNA", at positions 92 to 339 of the family's 1533-position model. The record is from RNAcentral.